This is an RNA transcript of Zea mays, 2343 nucleotides long. It is a transcript of the gene named PIF transcription factor pseudogene, with no coding region annotated. The record is from RefSeq and is marked validated. The transcript has 9 exons. Lineage: Eukaryota; Viridiplantae; Streptophyta; Magnoliopsida; Poales; Poaceae.
GCUUGCACGGAGGCGGGGUAGUAGAGGACGGCCUCGCAAGGUAGCUCUGCUCGAGCGAGGCAGCAGCACUACUCCCGUUCAGGAGAGGAGGCGUUCUCCACCGGGUCAUAGGAAUCCUGACGAGAUGGACGGCAAUGCUAGGUCGACGGCGGCGAGUCAGAAGAAGUCCAUCGUCCCGGACGACGACCUCGUGGAGCUGCUCUGGCACAACGGAAGCGUCGUGGCGCAGCCCCAGGGGCACCACAGGCCGGCGCCGCCCUCCGACCGCGACUGCCCGGGCACCAGCGGCCUUACUGCCGAGGAGACCGCCGCGUGGUUCCCGGACACCCUCGACGACUCGCUGGAGAAGGACCUGUACACGCAGCUCUGGUACAGCACGAUCGCCGACGCCGCCCCGCAACACGAGGGCAUGUUCCCGGGCCCUACCUCGCAGCCUUCGCCGCCGCCGCCCGUUGCGAGCAGCGGCGUCGAGUCGAGCUGGGCCGGCGACAUCUGCUCGACCUUCUGCGGCAGCAACCAGGUGCCCAGGACGCCGGCAGGGAUCAGGGGGAAGGACGCGGCAUUGCAGCCGGAGGUGCCGAGCGGUGCCGGCGCGCACGACGGCACAUCGUCAUCCGGUGGGUCCGGAAGCAACUAUGGGGGAUCCGGGCUGCCCAGUGACAGCGUCCAUGUCCACAAGAGGAAGGGGAUGUGUAGAGACGAGUCAGAUAGUCGGAGUGAGGUGUCUACUUUUGUUUUAUAUAACAUGUAUCCUGAACGAACUGCUAGAAAAUAGAGUCGAAAUAGAGAUGCUUGAGUGGAAUAGAAUUGAUGAGGAAAUUGCAGGAUGCCGAGUGUGAGGAGGCAAGGAGACCAAACCCUGGCGGCGGCAUGGGCGGAAACGCCGGACUCGUGCAGCUGAAGUCCAUAAUCUCUCAGAGAGGAGAAGAAGGGACCGGAUCAAAGAAAAGAUGCGUGCGUUGCAAGAGCUGAUCCCACACUGCAACAAGACUGACAAAGCAUCUAUACUAGACGAGACGAUUGAGUACCUGAAGUCCCUCCAAAUGCAAGUUCAGAUCAUGUGGAUGACUUCUGGGAUGGUGCCAAUGGUGUUUCCUGGUGCUCACCAAUACAUGCCACCAAUGGCUCUAGGCAUGAAUUCAGGUUGCAUCCCUGCAGCACAAGGCCUAAGUCAGAUGCGAAGAUUACCAUACAUGAACCACCCCAUGCCAAAUCAUAUCCCUCUGAACUCGUCUCCAGCUAUGAAUCCAAUGAAUCCACUGAACACUGUGAACCAGUUCCAAAACGGUCACCUCAGGGAGGUACCAAGACCUGGACCCCAUGUUUAUGGACACCAAAUAGCACAAGCCGAAGAACACAACAGAAUACUGGAAGUGGCAGCUAGUACUGUUAUACCAACUUCUAAGGCAGGGCAACCACCUACUUUUGAUGGAGUUUAGAGUGGUCAUAAAUCCUGUAAGGUGUUGCACUGAUAAUCUGACGAUGCAUAGCGUUGGUACCUUGAGUUGUAUAUCUGUGCAGUAGUGUCAGCAGCAUACUCUUUGACAUCUAAGCUUGGUUCUAGAGUUAUUAAUAGGAGCCUAGUAUAGGUAACAAGAUUGCAAGACAACUACCUGUCUACCACCAUAUUCUCUGUGGAAGAACUGGAGCUGCAUACUGCUGUGCAGUACAGUGUUCAAGAGAGAAUGGAACAGAUGAGUAUUUGAAGCACAACCUGAACAGGAAAUGGUCUUCUUUCUGGCAAUCGCUGAAAAUACUGACGUGAUGAGGAGCAGAUUGCAUCCCUAUGGCUGUAUUGUAAUAUAUCUACAUCAACAUGGCAAUACGUGUCUGGACUUGGAUGCUACAGUUACAUGUAAAUGCAGAGUUGCAGGUUUGGUCGGCAGGAGCAUACAUCUUCACACGACGUGGACAGUGGACUACGGGCCGAGACAGUGGCCCAGACACGACACGGCUCUUAUAUCAGGCUAGGCCAGACACUAUUUAAUGUGUCAUGCCUCAGGCCGGUCCACGAGACACGGCUGACCAUCUAUACCACAUACUCUACUCCUCCACGGCAACAGUUCAGCAUCCUCCUGGCAAUGGCAACGGUUCAGCAUCCUCCAUGGCAACUGUGCGGAGCCCUAGACUAGACCUGCUGCAAGAUGGCAGACCCUCAUCUUCAGAGCGGAUUGGGUUUGGAUCCCCUGUACUCCUCCUUGCUCCCCUGUUGCUUUCAGUUCGUCUCACGGUUAUUGUUCAGACUUCAGAUACAUAUGUCGUUGUGCCUGGUUGGCUGUAUCUGGACAUCAGUUUCCGUGUUGCUACUAUUUUCCCCCCUGUAUUUCUUUAUAACGGACAUUC